UCAUAUGGAGUUUGAGUGGUUUCAGAGGGUUCAGUGAGAGGUUCAGAGGUUGGUAGGGUUAUUGAGGGUGCUGAGAGAGAUGGUGUAGGUUCAGAGGUUUCUGGGACAAAUAAGAUCUGUUCAGAGUUUGUUGUGUCUUGGAGUUGAGCCAAGGUUAGAGAAGAAUGGUCAGGGGUUUAUGGCUGUUCAGAGACAGAGGAAAGGUCGUAGUAUGAAGGAGAUGAGGGAGUGGAUGAGGGAGGUGAAAUGGGUUCGUUUAGAAGUAAGGCUUCUGAUACGGGAAGUGUUGUGGUUGAGAGGUUCAAUUUUUGUAGAGGGGGUGAGGAUGUGUUAAUUUCAGAGUUGUGAGGUUUAGAUGGAGUUGGAAUGGGGGAUCUAUCUUGAAGAAAAGAUACAUUGUGUAAGACCCCAAUUUUGACCCUAAGAUCCCUCAUACUAUCUCAUCAUUUGCAUUGGCUUUGGGAUCACAUCCUGGCAUCCUCCUUACCCUUCAUUCACUGGGUUUGUAUUGGGAGAGAUCACCAAGCACAUUUGAUUGUAUCAUACUUUAUUUUCUUUU
Molecule: long non-coding RNA, 559 nt
Filed under: Lathyrus oleraceus (garden pea)
Lineage: Eukaryota; Viridiplantae; Streptophyta; Magnoliopsida; Fabales; Fabaceae
Description: Pisum sativum (pea) long non-coding RNA (PSAT_LNC037444)
Source: RNAcentral